ACGUCACGGUUGACCAACGUACAAUCAGCUGAUUUUCAGUUGUUUGUUUUUCUUUGCAAUAAGAAGCAUUUUUGUAUUGCAGGCACACAAAAACAUGAAUAUCAUCAAAAGUUAACAUCAGUAUAAACAAAUGCUUCUGGGAAAUUUUGUGCAUGAUGGACAGCUCGUUGGAGGAGUGCGAAGGAGAAAACAUUAUUGUCAAUAGUGACAAAAGAAAAUCCCAAAAAGGGUAAUAAAAAAACGAUUGAAAGACGCAUGUCAUUCGUGAUCGUACUAUCGUAAAGGAGGCUCGUACAACAAGAAGCAUUGGAAUUAGCAGCUGCAGCAAUAUCAUCAGAAGCAGCAAAUUUAAAUUGUUAAAUAAUAUUAUUCUUUUAUUUCAGAUUUAUUAUGAUUUUUAUUUAAUUAUUCUUUCUUUUCAGAUUUUAUCACUAUUUUUAUUUAAUUAAUAUUGGCUUUCAUAGUAAAUUCUAUUUGUAUUUAAUAUAUUUUAUUUUCAGGUAUUUUUCUUUUAUAAUAUUUUUCCACUCUUUUA
Molecule: long non-coding RNA, 535 nt
Organism: Bactrocera neohumeralis
Lineage: Eukaryota; Metazoa; Arthropoda; Insecta; Diptera; Tephritidae
Exons: 5
Source: RefSeq, a predicted model, not a curated record